This 497-nucleotide ribosomal RNA is filed under the name uncultured bacterium. Its description in RNAcentral is "partial 16S ribosomal RNA". It matches the Rfam family "Bacterial small subunit ribosomal RNA", at positions 28 to 507 of the family's 1533-position model. The record is from RNAcentral.
GAUGAACGCUGGCGGCGUGCCUAAUACAUGCAAGUCGAGCGAACAGACGAGGAGCUUGCUCCUCUGACGUUAGCGGCGGACGGGUGAGUAACACGUGGAUAACCUACCUAUAAGACUGGGAUAACUUCGGGAAACCGGAGCUAAUACCGGAUAAUAUAUUGAACCGCAUGGUUCAAUAGUGAAAGACGGUCUUGCUGUCACUUAUAGAUGGAUCCGCGCCGCAUUAGCUAGUUGGUAAGGUAACGGCUUACCAAGGCAACGAUGCGUAGCCGACCUGAGAGGGUGAUCGGCCACACUGGAACUGAGACACGGUCCAGACUCCUACGGGAGGCAGCAGUAGGGAAUCUUCCGCAAUGGGCGAAAGCCUGGCGGAGCAACGCCGCGUGAGUGAUGAAGGUCUUCGGAUCGUAAAACUCUGUUAUUAGGGAAGAACAAAUGUGUAAGUAACUAUGCACGUCUUGACGGUACCUAAUCAGAAAGCCACGGCUAACUACGUG